ACUCAAAGGAAUAGACGGGGGCCCGCACAAGCAGCGGAGCAUGUGGCUUAAUUCGACGCAACGCGAAGAACCUUACCAAGGCUUGACAUGCAGAGUAAUCCAUCAGAGAUGGUGGGUCCGCAAGGGAUUCUGCACAGGUGGUGCAUGGCUGUCGUCAGCUCGUGUCGUGAGAUGUUGGGUUAAGUCCCGCAACGAGCGCAACCCUCGUUCUAUGUUGCCAGCGCGUAAUGGCGGGGACUCAUAGGAGACUGCCGGGGUCAACUCGGAGGAAGGUGGGGACGACGUCAAGUCAUCAUGCCCCUUAUGUCUUGGGCUGCACACAUGCUACAAUGGCCGGUACAAAGGGCUGCGAAACCGCAAGGUAGAGCGAAUCCCAAAAAGCCGGUCUCAGUUCGGAUUGGGGUCUGCAACUCGACCCCAUGAAGUCGGAGUUGCUAGUAAUCGCAGAUCAGCAACGCUGCGGUGAAUACGUUCCCGGGCCUUGUACACACCGCCCGU
Molecule: ribosomal RNA, 498 nt
Filed under: uncultured bacterium
Lineage: Bacteria
Description: partial 16S ribosomal RNA
Rfam family: Bacterial small subunit ribosomal RNA
Source: RNAcentral